UGAGGAAUAUUGGGCAAUGCCCGCAAGGGUGACCCAGCAACGCCGCGUGGAGGAUGAAUGUCGUAAGAUUGUAAACUCCUGUUAGAGGGGAAGAAUAGUACCGGUUGGACCGGUAUAUGACUGUACCCUCAGAGAAAGCCCCGGCUAACUACGUGCCAGCAGCCGCGGUAAUACGUAGGGGGCAAGCGUUGACCGGAUUUACUGGGUGUAAAGGGCGCGCAGGCGGGAUAAAAAGUCAGUGGUGAAAUCCUACAGCUUAACUGUAGGACUGCCUUUGAUACUUUUAUUCUUGAGUUCGGGAGAGAGAGACGGAAUUCCAGGUGUAGUGGUGAAAUACGUAGAUAUCUGGAAGAACACCAGUUGCGAAGGCGGUCUCUUGGUCCGACACUGACGCUGAGGCGCGAAAGCGUGGGGAGCAAACA
Molecule: ribosomal RNA, 422 nt
Filed under: uncultured bacterium
Lineage: Bacteria
Description: bacterial SSU rRNA
Rfam family: Bacterial small subunit ribosomal RNA
Source: RNAcentral